UUAGUUGAAUGUUGCUGUCACAUGAA
Molecule: small RNA, 26 nt
Filed under: Bombyx mori (domestic silkworm)
Lineage: Eukaryota; Metazoa; Arthropoda; Insecta; Lepidoptera; Bombycidae
Description: ovarian small RNA-36769
Source: RNAcentral